CAAAAAGUACAGCUUUGUUUUCAGUCCUGUUACAGGGUAUCCAUGGAAACGAGGAUGACUUUCCAAUCCUUUUCUGGGGAAGGCACUGCAUUCACUGCAAUACAGUCUCUUCAACUAAAAUUUUGCAAAACAGCUCCCCAGGGUGACUGCUUUUUAUCCAAAAAGCCUGCAGUACAGCUGGCUGGAGGGAGCUAGCCCCUUUUAACCCUCCCACAAAACUGGCAUUUCUCAGCAGGUCUGGGGAUCCUGCUUUCCAGCUGGAUUUCAUGGGAGAGGAGAGCAGCCAGCAUCUCCUGCUGACACCAAACCCCUUCCCAAGAUUUAACCAAGAGGCCAGGAAAAUACAGGACCCAACAGACACUUCCAGAACACAGCCCUUGGUGCUUUCUAAACACCUAAGAUGCCCUGUGCAGUGACUGGGAGGAGGCAGCUGCUUCAGUCCUUCUCUCAGCAGCAAACACCAGGAGGUGUGGAAUGACAGCCACAGGAUCAGAGGUGCUCUGUCUCCCUCAAUAACCCAGCAGGGGGAUGGGACCCUACACUUUGCACUUGCUGCCAUUCCUGAAUCUGAAGAGAACUCAUGAAGAAGCAAGCACAAUAAUUGAUUGGUUCUAUUAAUAUGUCCAAAACUGAUUUCCUGCACUGACCAUAGCUUAAUGAAUAAUUUUCCCAGCAAAGUUUGCAGGUACAGAAUCAUACCCUUUUGCUGCUCAACACCAUUUUUAUUGGAAAGGAUUUACCCACUGUGCAAUAGUGAGACUGAAAUGGUGUGUGUGGUCCCCUCCCAGAGCUGCUUCCUGCCCCACAAAGGACAUGGACUUCACUGUGCCAGAGUGUCCUCCCUGACAGAUCCUUGUCCUGAAGAGUAACAAGAAAUAAAAUCUUUGAGAAUGAAGGUAAAUUGUAAAUA
This 910-nucleotide long non-coding RNA is filed under the name Zonotrichia albicollis (white-throated sparrow). Its description in RNAcentral is "lncRNA (ENSZALG00000016493.1)". Lineage: Eukaryota; Metazoa; Chordata; Aves; Passeriformes; Passerellidae. The record is from RNAcentral.